GAUGACGCUGGCGGCGUGCCUAAUACAUGCAAGUCGAACGAGCUUCUCGAUUAUUGAAGGGUGCUUGCUUCUUGAUUUAAUUUUGAACGAGGGGCGGACGGGUGAGUAACACGGGGGUAACCUGCCCUUAAGUGGGGGAUAACAUUUGGAAACAAAUGCUAAUACCGCAUAAAUCCAGGAACCGCAGGGUUCUUGGCUGAAAGAUGGCGUAGGCUAUCGCUUUUGGAUGGACCCGCGGCGUAUUAGCUAGUUGGUGAGGUAACGGCUCACCAAGGCAAUGAUACGUACCCAAACUGAGAGGUUGAUCGGCCACUUUGGGACUGAAACACGGCCCAAACUCCUACGGGAGGCAGCAGUAGGGAAUCUUCCACAAGGGACACAAGUCUGAUGGAGCAACCCCGCGUGAGUGAAAAAGGUUUUCGGGUCGUAAAACUCUGUUGUUGGAAAAAAAUGGUCGGAAGAGUAACUGUUGUCGGCGUGACGGUUCCAACCAAAAAGCCACGGCUAACUACGUGCCAGCAGCCGCGGUAAUACGUAGGUGGCAAGCGUUAUCCGGAUUUAUUGGGCGUAAAGCAAGCGCAGGCGGUUUUUUAAGUCUGAUGUGAAAGCCCUCGGCUUAACCGAGGAAGUGCAUCGAAAACUGGAAAACUUGAGUGCAAAAGAGGACAGUGGAACUCCAUGUGUAGCGGUGAAAUGCGUAGAUAUAUGGAAGAACACCAGUGGCGAAGGCGGCUGUCUGGUCUGUAACUGACGCUGAGGCCUCGAAAGCAUGGGUAGCGAACAGGAUUAGAUACCCUGGUAGUCCAUGCCGUAAAACGAUGAAUGCUAGGUGUUGGAGGGUUUCCGCCCUUCAGCUGCCGCAGCUAACGCAUUAAAGCAUUCCGCCUGGGGAGUACGACCGCAAGGUUGAAACUCAAAGGAAUUGACGGGGGCCCGCACAAGCGGUGGAGCAUGUGGUUUAAUUUGAAGCAACGCGAAGAACCCUACCAGGUCUUGACAUCUUUUGAUCACCUGAGAGAUCUGGUUUCCCCUUUGGGGGCAAAAUGACAGGUGGUGCAUGGUUGUUGUCAGCUCGUGUCGUGAGAUGUUGGGUUAAGUCCCGCAACGAGCGCAACCCCUAUGACUAGUUGCCCGCAUUUAGUUGGGCACUCUAGUAAGACUGCCGGGGACAAACCGGAGGAAGGGGGGGAUGACGUCAAAUCAUCAUGCCCCCUAUGACCUGGGGUACACACGUGCUACAAUGGAUGGUACAACGAGUUGCGAGACCGCGAGGUCAAGCUAAUCUCUUAAAACCCUUUUCAGUUUGGGCUGUAGGGUGCAACUCGCCUACACGAAGUCGGAAUCGCUAGUAAUCGCGGAUCAGCCCGCCGCGGGGAAUACGUUCCCGGGCCUUGUACACACCCCCCGUCACACCCUGAGAGUUUGUAACACCCGAAGCCGGGGGGGUAACCCUUUUAGGGAGCGAGCCGUCUAAGGUGGGACAAAUGAUUAGGGGAAGUCGAC
This 1503-nucleotide ribosomal RNA is filed under the name Lacticaseibacillus rhamnosus. Its description in RNAcentral is "bacterial SSU rRNA". It matches the Rfam family "Bacterial small subunit ribosomal RNA". The record is from RNAcentral. Lineage: Bacteria; Bacillati; Bacillota; Bacilli; Lactobacillales; Lactobacillaceae.